ACGCUGUGAUUGACAUACGCUCUCCCCUAUGAUUGUGUCUCUCUGAGCUCGGGGGCGGGCUCACGCUGUGAUUGACACCCCCUUCCUCUCCUCACUGUGCCAGCGGCCUAGGAGCUGUGAAAUGGCCGCCGUCCUGCUCAUGUCGAACGGAGUGAGAGAGUGCUGCCCCCCUGGCUCCGAGGAGUCCCGUCCCUCCCUCCCACCGGAGCCCAUGGACGAUGGACGGGAGCAGCCCCGGACCAGACUGGCCUUCAGCCUGCCGCAGGACGGCCCGGUUGCUUUCGACGAAUCUGAUCUAUUGGAGGGCUACGAUCUGGUGGAUUGCAGACGAACAGUUCCAACGCUGAUGGACUUCAUGGUGGCCAUUCCCAACCAGCUGUUGCUAGUCUCGCUCUUGGAACAUCUCUGCUACAUCUACGAGAGAAAUCCUCGCAGGUCCAUGGUCCUGUUCAAAUUGCUGUGUCAGAAGCUUGCAGAAGUGCACCUGAUUUCACCAGUCACCUUCAGCGAUGAGUUCAGCACCGUGAGGCUGCAGCACAAUCAGGCCUUUACAAACCUGCUGCGGGCGGCAAGCAAUGGUUUGUGCGUGCAGGGGCGUGCUGCCAAUGGAGAUGUCCAUCCCCAAAUCUCCAGCAGAAUAAAGGAAACGCUCUUUCAGGGACAGACGUCUCGGUACAUGACUGAAUUUGAAGAAAUCACCAGCCUGGGUAAAGGGAGCUAUGGAAAAGUAUAUAAGGUCAGGAAUAAAUUGGAUGGACAGUUUUAUGCUUUGAAGAAGAUUCUGAUGAAGAAGUUCACAAGAUUUGACUGUAUGAAGGUCUUACGAGAAGUUAAGGUUCUGGCAGGUCUUCAACACCCGCACAUAGUUGGCUAUCACACUGCUUGGAUAGAGCAUGUACAGCCACCAGCUCUGAAAAGUAAUCAGAAGUCUCUCAGUAAUCUAUGUGCAUUGAAGGGCCCCUCUGUUCAGGAAGAUAGCAGAAACUCUACAGUCCAGAACACACAAACCAGUGGCUCAAGUAUAAUUUUUGCAGACACUAGUUCUGCUUUGAGAGUGGGAGAGACUCUGUCAGGGAGCGGACUGGAUGAGGAAGAGAUGAGUGUGGACAAUUUAAAGGAAAGUGGCAAGCAAAUUUCCAUCCACAGUGAAGACUGUGGGGCGAAGCUACCGAGCAACAGUGAAUAUCGACUACUGGGUGUAAAGGACUUCGGCAUGCAUCUUCCUUGCUUUUAUUCCAAGGGUGUGUCCAUGCACAGCAACACAGACCUGAGCUCUGAGCUACAAGUUUCCCAAGAGAGAGGGAGCAAACAGAAGAUGUUAGUUGAAGCACUGGAGACUGAGACACAAGAGCUUGAGAGAGAGAAGGAAAUAGGAACCGGUGGUGUAGAGAUUUCAGGUACCUCUAUAAACGUGAGCAGUAAUUCAUCGUCAGGGAGUGAUACAUCUUUCAUAGACGUAUCUUCUGUCUCCCAGAUCCAUUUCCAUCUUGUGCUUCAUAUACAAAUGCAACUGUGUGAAGGGUCUCUUCAGGAUUGGAUUUUGGAAAGGAAUACCAGACAAAGAGAGAAUCUGGCAUUUACCUGCCCGUUUGCUCUGGUGGAGUUGGAUUGGACCAUUCACAUAUUUCGCCAGCUCCUCGAGGGAGUACGUUUCAUCCACUCCAAGGGUGUCAUGCACAGAGACCUGAAGCCAAGGAACAUCUUUCUCCAUGCCCCUGACUGCCAUGUCCGGAUCGGGGACUUCGGAUUAGCCUGCAGAGACAUCGUUGAGACGUCGGAUUCUUGGCCAGCCAAGAGCACAGGAACCAAUCCAAAACACACCUCGGGAGUUGGAACCUGUCUGUAUGCUUCCCCCGAACAACUAAGAGGCUCUCACUAUGAUUUUAAGUCGGAUAUGUACAGUGUCGGCAUCAUCUUACUGGAGCUCUUUCACCCCUUCGGAACUGUGAUGGAAAGGACAAAGAUAAUCACAGCACUUCGAGAAGGCCACAUCCCGGAAGACUUUGCACAACAGUGGCCAGUACAAGCUAAAUACAUUAAGAUGCUAACCAGCAAAGUUGCCUCCCACAGACCAAGUGCAGAUGAGAUGCUGGCCAGUGAACUCUUCUGUUCUCUCAAGGUCACUCCGCUCCAAGAGAAACUGGAACAGAAACUUGUGAUCCAGGAACAAGAAAUUAGGAGCCUACAACAGAAAGUGAUUGAUCAGGAAGAAGAAAUCAGACACCUGAAGGAACAAGUCAAAUUACUGGCUCGGGAAGGAGAGAGCAGCUAGAGAUCUUCACUAUUUCCCAGAGAAAUUCUCUUACUUUGCAUUCUGUCCACCCAAAUUUACUUGAAUACCUCAUGUAUAAAAAUGGUGUAUGUGCUUUGAAUGAGCUGAGAGGUGUGAAGUAUCAAAAUUAUUAAUUAAUACAUUGAGGCUUUGCACUCAUUAAAAUUCAGUGUUAUCUAUGGCUUAGUGGGUAGAAGGUUGUGUUCAAGUCCCACUUCAGAGAUUUGAGCACAGAGGCCAGUGUCUUAAUGAAUGCCAAGUUACUUUAUGUAAUAGUAAAACUUUGAUUAGACAAUUCAUCCAAGUUAACGUCAGCUGCGGUGCACUUGGCAGCACUCACCUCCCAGUCAGGUUUCGGGUCCAAGCCUCACUCCAGAGACUUGAGCACAAAGUCUCAAUCAAGUUUGUGGACAGUAAUGAGUGUCAAAGGUAUCAUCUUGUAAAGAAAAUGUUGAACCUUUCAACUGGAUUUAAACAAAAAAAAACCUAUGCAACUAUUCUGAAGAGCAGGGGAAAAAUUCCUAUGGCUGUAUUUCAAAUAGUAGGGGAAUCGUUCCCGGUGUCCUGCCCAAUAUUUACCCCUCAAUCACCACUAAAUCAGAUAUCAUCAAUACAAAUUAUUCUUUACCUUUACUUCUUCACACAGCAGAUCAUUGUCCUUGAAGCACAGAAUCUCUUCCUACAAUCUACAUUGCAGGAGGAACCUUAUGUAGAAUAAUUACCGUGUUCCAGAAAGCAUCCUAUCUGGAUGUAUCACGGUUUGGUACGGCAACCGCUCUGCCCAGGACCGCAACAAACUGCAGAGAGUUGUGGACGUAGCCCAACGCAUUACAGACACCAGCCUCCCCUCCUUGGACUCUGUCUUUACCUCUCGCUGUCUUGGUGAAGCAGCCAACAUAAUCAAAGACCCCACCCACCCGGGACAUUCUCUCUUCUCUCCUCUUCCAUCAGGUAGAAGAUACAGGAGCCUGAGGGCACGUACCACCAGUCUUGAGGACAGCUUCUACCCCACUGUGAUAAGACUAUUGAACAGUUCCCUUAUACAAUGAGAUGGACUAUGACCUCACGAUCUACCUUGUUGUGACCUCGCACCUUAUUGCACUGCACUUCCUCUGUAGCUGUGACACUUUACUCCGUACUGUUAUUUUUACCUCUACUACAUCAAUGCACUCUGUACUGACUCAAUGUAACAGCACUAUGAAAUGAAUUGACCUGUACGAUCAGUUUGUAAGACAAGUUUUUCCACUGUACCUCAGUACAAGUGACAAUAAUAAACCAAUACCAUAACAACAACCUCUCACUCAACAUCAGUAAAACUAAAGAAAUGAUUGUUGACUUCAGGAAGGGGAAGGAGGGUGAACAUGCACCAGUCUAUAUUGGUGGAUUGGUAGUUGAGUGGAUCAGCAGCUUUAAAUUCCUGGGCAUCAAGAUAUCAGAUGACCCGUCUUGGGCCCAGCACAUAGAUGCAAUCACUUUCUUAAAAGGUUGAGGAAGUUCAGCACGUCACCAAACACUGUAACAAACUUCUACAGAUGUACUGUUGAAAGUGUCCUGACUGGUUGCAUCAUGGUCUGGUACGGCAAUUCGAAUGUGCAGGAACACAAGAAGCUGCAAAGAGCAGUCGACUCAGCCCAAUACAUCAUAGGCACAUCCCUCCCCACCAUCAAAAGUAUCUACAGGAGGCGCUACCUCAAGAAGGCAACAUCCAUCAAAGAUCCCCACCAUCCAGGCCAUGCCAUCUUCUCGCAGCUACCAUCAGGCAGGAGGUACAGAAGCCUUAAGUCCCACACCACCAGGUUCAGGAACAGCUACUUCCCCUCAACCACAGUUCUUGAACCAACCUGCACAACCCUAAUCACUACCUCAGUUUAGCAACACCAUGACUUUGUUAAUUGUGUUCUUUCUUGUAUAAUUUAUGUUGUUAAUCUACAUUUUUCUUGUGAAUGUUGUGUAUCUGAUGCUGUAACCCUGGAAUGGGUGAGU
Molecule: RNA transcript, 4255 nt
Organism: Pristis pectinata (smalltooth sawfish)
Lineage: Eukaryota; Metazoa; Chordata; Chondrichthyes; Rhinopristiformes; Pristidae
Gene: eif2ak1
Gene name: eukaryotic translation initiation factor 2-alpha kinase 1
Exons: 16
Source: RefSeq, a predicted model, not a curated record